AAGUCGUAACAAGGUUUCCGUAGGUGAACCUGCAACGUUAAACCCCCCGUGAACCUUCAGUGCGCUCGCACUUUCUUAGAAAAGGUAGCAAUCCCUGGUAAAUCAUUGCCGAACAGUUUUGAUUCAGGGACUUCUGCGUAGACUGUGCUUGAGCGUGAGGCAAGUGGCCUGGCAUUCCUCUGCUUGUUGGUGUCUGAAAGUGUCACCAGCUCUGUACGAAUGGCGCAGUCACGAUCGCUAGAGGCCGACACGGCCGGCGACCGGGUCACUGGGCGCGAGCCCCCCUCGUCACCUUUGCAUGAAAACGGGCCUGCGCUUAAUUGUGCGGCCACCAAACUCGAACAACUGUUAACAAUGGAUAUCUUGGUUCUC
Molecule: unclassified non-coding RNA, 372 nt
Filed under: fungal sp.
Lineage: Eukaryota; Fungi
Description: partial internal transcribed spacer region
Source: RNAcentral